GCAAAAAGGAACCCUUUCGUGGCAAAUUGUCCUUCCUGCCAGAGAAAUCCAAUGCACUAGCAAUUCUUAGCACAGGACGAUCAAAAGGUAACCCUAAUCUUAAGUGUAGGGCUUUCCUUAGUUCCACUUGCUUCAUUUCAGUCUCCCCAUAAGUGAGUUCAUAGAUAACAGUUAUUGGAUGCAAAAAUCCAAGAGGGCAAAAAUGAUAUGGCACUAGAUGAGGCAGUUGGUUUACAAGGUUGGGUAAUAUUGCAUUCUUCAUCGAGUUUAACUGGUCAACUAAACCUGGAAUGAUCAGGGUUGAAACAGCAUAAGUCAAUGGAAGAAACUUGGCAGCAUAACAGAGAACUUCUGCCUUCAAGUCGACAACCAAAAGCCUGGUCUUGUCCACAGCUGGAAAGUACUCUACAACUGGUGCACUAGAUUUUUG
RNAcentral lists this unclassified non-coding RNA (430 nucleotides) under Hevea brasiliensis (rubber tree). The record is from RNAcentral. Lineage: Eukaryota; Viridiplantae; Streptophyta; Magnoliopsida; Malpighiales; Euphorbiaceae.